CUGCCUACGGGACGCAGCAGUGAGGAAUAUUGGUCAAUGGGCGAGAGCCUGAACCAGCCAAGUCGCGUGAAGGAUGACGGCCCUAUGGGUUGUAAACUUCUUUUGUCAGGGAGCAAUUGGGUCCACGUGUGGGCUUAGCGAGAGUACCUGAAGAAAAAGCAUCGGCUAACUCCGUGCCAGCAGCCGCGGUAAUACGGAGGAUGCGAGCGUUAUCCGGAUUCAUUGGGUUUAAAGGGUGCGCAGGCGGGCCUUUAAGCCGGCGGUGAAAUCGCGGGGCUCAACCCCGCCGGGCCGUCGGAACUGGG
This 305-nucleotide ribosomal RNA is filed under the name uncultured bacterium. RNAcentral describes it as "bacterial SSU rRNA". It matches the Rfam family "Bacterial small subunit ribosomal RNA", at positions 335 to 637 of the family's 1533-position model. The record is from RNAcentral.